CUGUGACGUAGCUGCAGCAACCAGGCAGAAGCUGCUUAACUGAGUUGCUGAAUGUGCAUGAAGACGUCUUCGUGGAUCCAGGGGUUCUGCUGAACCUGGAGAAGGACAACGAUAGACUGAGCAAAAGACGGUGUUCGUUUUGUUGGCGCAGCUGCAAGACGAAGAUAAGAGCACUGAUGAUAACAACCUGUCGGCAUACUGACAUUUCUUUGGACACUCAGCAAUGAGCUGUUAGCCACAACCCUGCAGAAAAGAAUCACAGUUUAAGAGAGUAAGCUGUACACCUGCAAAAUGAAACAUAUAUUCUAAGUUGCGUUGCUUGUUUUCCUUUUGCAGAU
This is a long non-coding RNA of Gambusia affinis (western mosquitofish), 338 nucleotides long. RefSeq lists it as uncharacterized. NCBI's taxonomy places the organism in Eukaryota, Metazoa, Chordata, Actinopteri, Cyprinodontiformes, Poeciliidae. The transcript has 3 exons. The record is from RefSeq and is a predicted model, not a curated record.